This 711-nucleotide long non-coding RNA is filed under the name Brachypodium distachyon (stiff brome). Its description in RNAcentral is "long non-coding RNA (BDIS_LNC000992)". Lineage: Eukaryota; Viridiplantae; Streptophyta; Magnoliopsida; Poales; Poaceae. The record is from RNAcentral.
UUAGGGAGCAUUAACAAAUCUGAGCUCUUAGAUCUAUAAAAUAAACGGUCCAAAUUAAUUCUGGGAUAUUGUAAAAGAGCUCUUGCCUUUUGGGAGACACCUACUCUACUCUCUGUUUCAUAUAUAGUAGCCUAGCUUGAACAAUUUUCAGGCAAAAGAGAUGCACCUGAGCCUAGUUCAUCCACAGCACAGCACAAACCUCAGCAAGAAACAAAAUUCCCAACGAUUCACAGAUCAACAUCGAUACAAAAUUAAAAAAGAAAAAAGCAGCUAAUCAGAACAGAGUCAGCCGUCAGAUAUCCGCAGAAAAGGACAUAUACAUGCCUGCGUUUCCAUCCACAAAAAUUACCAAAUGUCUGGACAAAAGAUUUACCAAACCAUUAACAAAAUAUUACCAGAUCAAUGAACAUCAUUGACAACUGGCACCAGCCUCAGCAAUCAGCGUCACUGGGCAAAGAGAGAAACCUUUUAAGAAAACCAUGAGAUGCUAGCUAAUAGUAAAGCACAGCAGCUUCAAUGCCAUCUGGAUGCUAGUGUUAGAAGAAGAGUGUAAAAUAAAUUCCUUUUUGCAAGUCAGAUAUAUUCCUCGUUGCAACAGGCACAAAGUAGGGGGUUACUGCAUAAGAACAAUCAUGUUGCAUUACAUGCACGCACAGAUCAAUAAAGAGCGAAGGAGGAGUUCAAUGUCCUUGCUGUAAUAAUACUCCAUUG